CCUACGGGCGGCAGCAGUGAGGAAUAUUGGUCAAUGGUCGUGAGGCUGAACCAGCCAAGUCGCGUGCAGGAUGACGGCCCUACGGGUUGUAAACUGCUUUUAUGCGGGGGCAAAGUGCGUCACGUGUGAUGCUUUGAGGGUACCGCAUGAAAAAGGACCGGCUAAUUCCGUGCCAGCAGCCGCGGUAAUACGGAGGAUCCGGGCGUUAUCCGGAUUUAUUGGGUUUAAAGGGUGCGCAGCCGGAGGUGAAAGCCUGCGUUCAAAUGCCUGGGCUCAACCCCGUACUGCCGCGGAAACUGCCUUCCUUGAGUGCGCGGAAAGUAUGCGGAAUGCGUGGUGUAGCGGUGAAAUGCAUAGAUAUCACGCAGAACUCCGAUUGCGAAGGCAGCAUACCGGAGCGCUACUGACGCUGAUGCACGAAGGCGUGGGUAUCGAACAGGAUUAGAUACCCGUGUAGUC
Molecule: ribosomal RNA, 459 nt
Filed under: uncultured bacterium
Lineage: Bacteria
Description: partial 16S ribosomal RNA
Rfam family: Bacterial small subunit ribosomal RNA
Source: RNAcentral